This 253-nucleotide ribosomal RNA is filed under the name uncultured bacterium. RNAcentral describes it as "partial 16S ribosomal RNA". It matches the Rfam family "Bacterial small subunit ribosomal RNA", at positions 524 to 776 of the family's 1533-position model. The record is from RNAcentral.
UACGAAGGUGGCAAGCGUUGUUCGGAUUUACUGGGCGUAAAGGGAGCGUAGGUGGUUAGGUAAGCCCUCCGGGAAAUCUUCAGGCUUAACCUGAAAAGGUCGGGGGGGACUGCCUGGCUAGAGGACGGGAGAGGAGCGCGGAAUUCACGGUGUAGCGGUGAAAUGCGUAGAGAUCGGGAGGAAGGCCGGUGGCGAAGGCGGCGCUCUGGAACGUUUCUGACACUGAGGCUCGAAAGCGUGGGGAGCAAACGGG